GAGGUAGUUACUCAUGAGAUGAUGGGUCGGGUCGUCACAAAAAUACACGGCUAAACCUUAUAAUGGUCAAGACAUCGAUUGAUACUUCGAUUCAUGAAACUAGGGUUUUAGAGCGGCCUUUAAUCCAAUAUUCGAGAACUACCCAGAUGAUUCAAGGGUCAAGGGAUACAGAUUUGUAAAGAGGAGAGUCAGGAGAACACACGGUGUUAAUUUGGUUGAGAUUGGAUUACUUUGCAUUUUUUGCCGGACUUUCGAUCUGAAAUUUGAGAGUUUUGGGUAGGAUUUUGGAAAAACUAAGGCCAGAUAUAGGGAGGGGGUGGAGGAGCACUUGUGGCGUAAUUUCUGGUGGAUUUGGGGCAUCGCCGCUGGCGGAUACAAUUUCCGGCCGUCGGUAGAUGGCGGAG
Molecule: long non-coding RNA, 404 nt
Filed under: Nicotiana benthamiana
Lineage: Eukaryota; Viridiplantae; Streptophyta; Magnoliopsida; Solanales; Solanaceae
Description: long non-coding RNA (NBEN_LNC028688)
Source: RNAcentral